RNAcentral lists this ribosomal RNA (253 nucleotides) under uncultured bacterium. RNAcentral's name for it is "partial 16S ribosomal RNA". It matches the Rfam family "Bacterial small subunit ribosomal RNA", at positions 524 to 776 of the family's 1533-position model. The record is from RNAcentral.
UACGUAGGGCGCAAGCGUUGUCCGGAAUUAUUGGGCGUAAAGAGCUCGUAGGCGGUUUGUCGCGUCUGCUGUGAAAACCUAAGGCUCAACCUUGGGCUUGCAGUGGGUACGGGCAGACUAGAGUGCGGUAGGGGUGACUGGAAUUCCUGGUGUAGCGGUGGAAUGCGCAGAUAUCAGGAGGAGCACCGGUGGCGAAGGCGGGUCUCUGGGCCGAUACUGACGCUGAGGAGCGAAAGCGUGGGGAGCGAACAGG